This is a non-coding RNA of Acanthoscelides obtectus, 70 nucleotides long. The record is from the annotation of a GenBank genome assembly. NCBI's taxonomy places the organism in Eukaryota, Metazoa, Arthropoda, Insecta, Coleoptera, Chrysomelidae.
GCCUCUGUAGCGCAGUGGCAGAACGCUAGUAUUGUAAACCAGGUCGUGAGUUCAAUCCUCACAGAAGGCA